Molecule: transfer RNA, 77 nt
Filed under: Vibrio parahaemolyticus
Lineage: Bacteria; Pseudomonadati; Pseudomonadota; Gammaproteobacteria; Vibrionales; Vibrionaceae
Description: tRNA-Glu
Rfam family: tRNA
About the family: Transfer RNA (tRNA) molecules are approximately 80 nucleotides in length. Their secondary structure includes four short double-helical elements and three loops (D, anti-codon, and T loops). Further hydrogen bonds mediate the characteristic L-shaped molecular structure. tRNAs have two regions of fundamental functional importance: the anti-codon, which is responsible for specific mRNA codon recognition, and the 3' end, to which the tRNAs corresponding amino acid is attached (by aminoacyl-tRNA synthetases). tRNAs cope with the degeneracy of the genetic code in two manners: having more than one tRNA (with a specific anti-codon) for a particular amino acid; and 'wobble' base-pairing, i.e. permitting non-standard base-pairing at the 3rd anti-codon position.
Source: RNAcentral
GCUCCGUUCGUCUAGACGGCCUAGGACACAACCCUUUCAAGGUUGUAACAGGGGUUCGAAUCCCCUACGGAGCGCCA